CUUGGUGCAGGGGAACUUCAUCUUCUGGUGAUGAUCUCUAUGGUUUCAUCAUUUAUAAGCCAUGUAUCUCAUGAGGACAUACAAAGGCAUAAAGGCUGCAACCCAAAUCUGAGAAAGGUUGUGAGGUUUUAGGAAUUCCAAACCUACCCUCUUGAAAAACAAGGGAUGGGGAGAUGAAAAGGAGAAGGAACCAGGAAGAUGAUCAAAUGAAGCGUCAAAAUUGCUGCUUAUGUGAACUGAGAGUACUGACUGUACUGUAAGUGUUUAUUUCCUUCCAUUCUACGUAUUUUUAAAAGAUACAAGUUUAAGAACUUGGUCUAGUUCUUCAGAAUGAACCCUGCUUUCAGCUACACUCCAGGUAUCUAAAUCUGCCUCUCCCUAAAGAAAGCACAGCUGUAAAGAUUCUGAAGUAAAUAUGGAAACCUUCCAGAAGUCCUUUCUAUGUUCCUUGGAUUAAAUGCACCCUAUGCAGCAGAAAAAGACAUGAACUACUGGGUAUACAUUGCUUUCUUUGGAAGGCCAGAAGUUAAAAACUAAAUUCUCAUGAAUCUUGAAGCCAUUAAACGUCACUAAAAAGUGAUUAAGUCAGAACAGUGCCCUCAAAAUUUCAUCUCAAA
Pogoniulus pusillus (Red-fronted tinkerbird) is the source of this 617-nucleotide long non-coding RNA. RefSeq lists it as uncharacterized. The transcript has 2 exons. Lineage: Eukaryota; Metazoa; Chordata; Aves; Piciformes; Lybiidae. The record is from RefSeq and is a predicted model, not a curated record.